UGCAGUCGAGCGGUAACAGGGGAGCUUGCUCCUGCUGACGAGCGGCGGACGGGUGAGUAACGCGUGGGAAUCUGCCCAUUGGUGGGGGAUAGCCCGGAGAAAUUCGGAUUAAUACCGCAUAAUACCUGAGGGUUAAAACGGGGGAUCAUUAGACCUCGUGCCAAUGGAUGAGCCCGCGUCAGAUUAGCUAGUUGGUAAGGUAAAGGCUUACCAAGGCGACGAUCUGUAGCUGGCCUGAGAGGGUGGUCAGUCACACUGGAACUGAGACACGGUCCAGACUCCUACGGGAGGCAGCAGUGGGGAAUAUUGGGCAAUGGGCGCAAGCCUGACCCAGCCAUGCCGCGUGUGUGAAGAAGGCUUUCGGGUUGUAAAGCACUUUAAGUUGGGAGGAAGGCUGCUUAGUUAAUACCUAAGUAGAUUGACGUUACCAACAGAAUAAGCACCGGCUAAUUCCGUGCCAGCAGCCGCGGUAAUACGGAAGGUGCGAGCGUUAAUCGGAAUUACUGGGCGUAAAGCGCACGCAGGCGGUUUGUUAAGCUAGAUGUGAAAGCCCUGGGCUCAACCUGGGAAUUGCAUUUAGAACUGGCAGGCUAGAGUUUUGGAGAGGGGAGUGGAAUUCCAGGUGUAGCG
Molecule: ribosomal RNA, 630 nt
Filed under: uncultured bacterium
Lineage: Bacteria
Description: bacterial SSU rRNA
Rfam family: Bacterial small subunit ribosomal RNA
Source: RNAcentral